UACGGGGGGGGCAAGCGUUGUUCGGAAUUACUGGGCGUAAAGGGUUCGUAGGUGGCCUACUAAGUCAGACGUGAAAUCCCUCAGCUUAACUGGGGAACUGCGUCUGAUACUGGUAGGCUUGAGUGCAGGAGAGGAACGCGGAAUUCCACGUGUAGCAGUGAAAUGCGUAGAGAUGUGGAGGAACACCGAUGGCGAAGGCAGCCCCCUGGGCUAACACUGACGCUCAGGCACGAAAGCGUGGGGAGCAAACAGG
RNAcentral lists this ribosomal RNA (253 nucleotides) under uncultured bacterium. Its description in RNAcentral is "partial 16S ribosomal RNA". It matches the Rfam family "Bacterial small subunit ribosomal RNA", at positions 524 to 776 of the family's 1533-position model. The record is from RNAcentral.